RNAcentral lists this non-coding RNA (24 nucleotides) under Arabidopsis thaliana (thale cress). The record is from RNAcentral. Lineage: Eukaryota; Viridiplantae; Streptophyta; Magnoliopsida; Brassicales; Brassicaceae.
UUUAAAUGGAUGCUUAAGUAGACA